AGCAGCCGCGGUAAUUCCAGCUCCAAUAGCGUAUAUUAAAGUUGUUGCAGUUAAAAGCUCGUAGUUGAAUUUCGGGAUUGGCGCAUCGGUCGUGCCUCACGGGGUAUGAACUGGUGCAGUCAAUUUCUCACCUUCUGGAGAACCGCGAUGUCCUUAAUUGGAUGCCGCGGGGAACCAGGACCUUUUACUUUAGAAAAAUUAGAGUGUUUAAAGCAGGCAUUUUUGCUUGAAUACAUUAGCAUGGAAUAAUAAAAUAGGACGGCAUGGUUCUAUUUUGUUGGUUUCUAGGACCACCGUAAUGAUUAAUAGGGAUAGUUGGGGGCAUUAGUAUUCAAUUGUCAGAGGUGAAAUUCUUGGAUUUAUUGAAGACUAACUACUGCGAAAGCAUUUGCCAAGGAUGUUUUCAUUAAUCAAGAACGAAAGUUAGGGAUCGAAGACGAUCAGAUACCGUCGUAGUCUUAACCUAUAAACUAUGCCGACUAGGAAUCAGACGAUGUUUAAUUUUUUAAUGUACUCGUUU
Molecule: unclassified non-coding RNA, 520 nt
Filed under: uncultured Entrophospora
Lineage: Eukaryota; Fungi; Glomeromycota; Glomeromycetes; Entrophosporales; Entrophosporaceae
Description: SSU rRNA
Rfam family: Eukaryotic small subunit ribosomal RNA
Source: RNAcentral